RNAcentral lists this transfer RNA (72 nucleotides) under Pelolinea sp. RNAcentral describes it as "tRNA-Gly". It matches the Rfam family "tRNA". Rfam says of the family: Transfer RNA (tRNA) molecules are approximately 80 nucleotides in length. Their secondary structure includes four short double-helical elements and three loops (D, anti-codon, and T loops). Further hydrogen bonds mediate the characteristic L-shaped molecular structure. tRNAs have two regions of fundamental functional importance: the anti-codon, which is responsible for specific mRNA codon recognition, and the 3' end, to which the tRNAs corresponding amino acid is attached (by aminoacyl-tRNA synthetases). tRNAs cope with the degeneracy of the genetic code in two manners: having more than one tRNA (with a specific anti-codon) for a particular amino acid; and 'wobble' base-pairing, i.e. permitting non-standard base-pairing at the 3rd anti-codon position. Lineage: Bacteria; Bacillati; Chloroflexota; Anaerolineae; Anaerolineales; Anaerolineaceae. The record is from RNAcentral. RNAcentral also lists the same sequence under 1 other name.
GCGGGCGUCGCCAAGUGGUAAGGCGUCAGCCUUCCAAGCUGAUAUCCGUGGGUUCGAAUCCCAUCGCCCGCU